UACGUAGGGUGCGAGCGUUAAUCGGAAUUACUGGGCGUAAAGCGUGCGCAGGCGGUGAUGUAAGACAGAUGUGAAAUCCCCGGGCUCAACCUGGGAACUGCAUUUGUGACUGCAUCGCUGGAGUGCGGCAGAGGGGGAUGGAAUUCCGCGUGUAGCAGUGAAAUGCGUAGAUAUGCGGAGGAACACCGAUGGCGAAGGCAAUCCCCUGGGCCUGCACUGGCGCUCAUGCACGAAAGCGUGGGGAGCAAACAGG
RNAcentral lists this ribosomal RNA (253 nucleotides) under uncultured bacterium. Its description in RNAcentral is "partial 16S ribosomal RNA". It matches the Rfam family "Bacterial small subunit ribosomal RNA", at positions 524 to 776 of the family's 1533-position model. The record is from RNAcentral.